CCAAUAGCGUAUAUUAAAGUUGUUGCAGUUAAAAAGCUCGUAGUUGAACUUCGGGGUUUACUCAUUGGUCAGGCUUAAUUGUCUGUACUGGUGAGCUGAAUCUCUACCUUCUGAGGAACUUUCAUGCCAUUUAUUUGGUGUGAUGGGAAAUCAGUACUGUUACUUUGAAAAAAUUAGAGUGUUUAAAGCAGUCUAACGUCUGACUACAUUAUCAUGGAAUAAUGAAAUAGGACGGACUGAUUCUAUUUCGUUGGUUUCUAGGAUCACCGUAAUGAUUAAUAGGGAUAGUUGGGGGCAUUAGUAUUCAAUUGUCAGAGGUGAAAUUCUUGGAUUUAUUGAAGACUAACUACUGCGAAAGCAUUUGCCAAGGAUGUGUUCAUUAAUCAAGAACGAAAGUUAGGGGAUCGAAGACGAUCAGAUACCGUCGUAGUCUUAACCAUAAACUAUGCCGACUAGGGAUCGGACGAAGUUAAUUUUAUAAUGACGCGUUCGGCACCUUACG
Molecule: ribosomal RNA, 502 nt
Filed under: uncultured Glomeromycotina
Lineage: Eukaryota; Fungi; Glomeromycota
Description: partial small subunit ribosomal RNA
Rfam family: Eukaryotic small subunit ribosomal RNA
Source: RNAcentral